Molecule: transfer RNA, 39 nt
Filed under: Pterygoplichthys disjunctivus (vermicualted sailfin catfish)
Lineage: Eukaryota; Metazoa; Chordata; Actinopteri; Siluriformes; Loricariidae
Description: partial tRNA-Thr
Source: RNAcentral
GCCCUAGUAGCUUAGCACCAAAAGCGCCGGUCUUGUAAU